AUUGAACGCUGGCGGCAUGCUUUACACAUGCAAGUCGAACGGUAACAGGCCUUCGGGUGCUGACGAUUGGCGAACGGGUGAGUAAUGCAUCGGAACGUACCCAGAGGUGGGGGAUAACGCAGCGAAAGCUGUGCUAAUACCUCAUGUGAUCUGAGGAUGAAAGCGGUGGACCGAGCAUCAAUGUUUGGCCUCGCGCCUUUGGAGCGGCCGAUGUCGGAUUAGCUAGUUGGUGGGGUAAAGGCCUACCAAGGCGACGAUCCGUAGCUGGUCUGAGAGGACGACCAGCCACACUGGGACUGAGACACGGCCCAGACUCCUACGGGAGGCAGCAGUGGGGAAUUUUGGACAAUGGGCGCAAGCCUGAUCCAGCAAUGCCGCGUGCGGGAAGAAGGCCUUCGGGUUGUAAACCGCUUUUGGCAGGAACGAAACGGUGUCCGCUAAUACCGGGCGCUAAUGACGGUACCUGCAGAAUAAGCACCGGCUAACUACGUG
Molecule: ribosomal RNA, 492 nt
Filed under: uncultured bacterium
Lineage: Bacteria
Description: partial 16S ribosomal RNA
Rfam family: Bacterial small subunit ribosomal RNA
Source: RNAcentral